UGCCUUCUCUGCUGCUGCUGCUGCUCUUGCUUCUGCUGCUGCUGGAGGAGAUGUGGCCAGUGCACUGCAAUCACACGAGCGGCAGCAGCUGCAGCGCAGGGAUCUCUGUCUCUCUCUUCAGUCUGAUACCGGGGGGCAAUGAUCAGCUGACACUUUCCUGCUGCUGCCGGGGGACUGUGCCCACCACACUCUGUGGCCCCUGGAGAAUGGUCUGAGCACAGGGGGGCAUCUUUUAAACUUCUUGGGAGCUUGGAAGAUGAGCACAGAGAUCACCAAACCUACUCUAGCACCAAAGCCCCAAGGUCUUGACUCAUUCAGUUCAGUGCCUCUUCCUAAGUACUCCUCACCAUUGAUCUCAAGAGCUGGCCUCGUUCGUCAAACAAACUCAAUGUCAAGGGGUCCAAAACCCCCUAUUGCUCCAAAGCCUGUGCUGUCACCUUCCUCAGAAAGACGAUCCACAGUGAAUGCUAAUAAUUUCUUUAAUAAAUGUGCUAAUGGGAAAGUGGUUUGUCCUGUGGAAAAUAUUUCAAAUACUGAUCAAUACAGUCUGGAGUCUGGCACACCGGACAUGACAUUUGAGGAUUACAGCACUGUUCCUGACUCCCAGUUUACAGAUGAAGAAAACACUGAUAUUGAAUGUGAACACAGCUCUUCAUUUGAUACAUGGGAAACCCAUCAAGAAGAAGUUGAUAUAAGUGAUAACAAGAGCUGCAGUCCCUCGGGAGUACAAGAAGAAGACAGUGGAAACCCAGACAGUGUUCCUUCAAGAGAGGUGGAAUCAGGAGAAUCUACAGAAUUAGAAGACAGUGACAACACCGAUGCUUUAAGCUUGAGAUCGUCAUCCACUGCAGAUGCAGACAGCUUGGUGCCUCAUACUGGGUGUGAGACUUUGUUGUUUAAAAAUGACCUUGGGGAUAUUGAGGAUUUUUUGCCAUUGGAUCACAAUGAGUGCAACACAGAAAACAAAGCAAAUGACAAAAAUCUGAAGAUCAUGGGUUGUGAUGAUGUUAUUCUGACAGAGGUAUAUUUUGAGGAACUCCCCGUGGAUGAAACCUGUUGUGAAGAAGAUGCAAACACUGAAGAGACUCCUUGCAAGGAACAUGAUGAAUCUCCAGUAUCGACAGAAGUGGAUUUAGUAAAUGUUGAAUCAUUGGAGAACUCUAUAGUCUGUGACAAUGCCCAGUGUGGUGAGGCUGCAGAGACUGAGCAGGAUUUAGUUGCAGAAUCUUUAGAUAAUUUCCAGUUGACUGAGGACAUUGCUGAUUUAGUGAAUGAUGAUGGACAAGACUCAUUUACUCAUACUAAUGAAUUGUCAUUGUGUAAUUUACCUUCCUUUGGUGAUGAGGAAGGAGAGCAAGAGGCAGAUACAACACAUGAAAUGAAUGAGUUGGCAGCAAACAAUAUAAUAUUAGAUAAUGAAAAAAUAAUUACAAACAUUUUAAAGUCAAGUGAAGACACAGCACAUGAGGACAGCAUAGAUGAUAGUUGUCUAAUUGUACCUUAUGAAAAUGAAGGUUCUGAAGAACCAGAUGAGACUUUGGAAGCAAUGGUGGCUUUGGAGAAUGGUUUGGACAUUAACCCUGUUUCAGAACCUCUACUAGAGACUGUGACUGAUGACACAGAAUGUUUUUCUGACGACAGUUGUUGUAACAGAAAACUGGAAACCACUGAUGCACAGGUCACAUUUACAGGUGCUGCAGAGGGAAAUGAUUGGUGUGAUGAAGAACCAUCUGCUGUUAGUCAUGUUACAGUAACUGAAGUGGAUUUAGCUGACACCACAGACUACUCAACUGAAGAUCAGGAAAGGGAGGUUAAAGAGAUGGACUCAACAGAUGUUUUACCAGUGACUGAGGUAAUCACUGAGCCCGAGGAGGAGGAUGAAGCCAAUCCUUAUGUUCUUGAGGAUAGUGCACAGUCAAGAAGCAGAAAGCUGCUCAGUGCUAAAGAGUCUGCACAUAACAGAAAUGAUGGUGAUACACAGAGACCUUAUUGCACAGGUGAGAAAAAUGGCUGUGAAGGGGAAAAUCAUUUACUCAAUGUAGACAGGAAAAACAUUGUAACAAGAACCAGGUCCUAUUCUGGAAAAAUUCCUGGAAAUGUGCCUGAGACUGUGCCAGAAGAAACUGGGGCAGAGUUUGACUCCCAGUUGUCAAACAGUGAGAAAAAAGCCAUACGUGAAAAGAUGGACAAAAAGCCAAUUGAAGCAGGCAGAGCACUACCCAGGAAGCCAAGUCGUUUUAUUCCCUACCCUCGCUCCUACUCAGUGGAAGGCAGGGAGAACACAGUCUCGCUUUAUAUAGAAUCUGAUAUGGUGGUCAAUUUUUCCUCCCCUUAUCUCAUUAGUUCAUCUGGGAGCUUUUCACAAAGAAAUCAUCACUCAUCUAGUGGGAUGUCCACUCCCUCUUCUGUUGUAGACAUUCCACCUCCCUUUGAGCUUGCGAGUAUUACAAAGAAACCAAUCACUAAAAGCUCACCAUCACUAUUAAUUGAGAAUGAGUGUUCUGAGAAAUGCAAUAAGAAGAAAAAGUUGUCCUUUAAACGUUUCCUCACUUUGAAGUUCAAGAAAAAGACGGAGAACAAAGUUCAUGUAGAGGUCAAUGUAUCUUCACCCAGGUCAUCUUCAGAGUCAAGUUACCAUGGAGCAGCUAGACACAUGGACACGGACAGAAGAAGCCUUGGUAACUCCCCGCAGCUGCAAGCCCGUUCUGGAUUACACUUCCGUCCAGAUUCCCCAUCGGCCAUGCUUUUCUAUAAGGAUAUGAAGAGAAAAGGAACAUCAAAAGCCUUUAACAGAAGUGUGGCUAGGGUUGAAUCCUUCGAAGAUCGAUCAAGGCCACCAUUCAUGCCACUGCCCUUAACCAAACCCAGGUCCAUCUCUUUUCCUAAUGCUGAUACCUCAGAUUAUGAAAAUAUCCCAGCUAUGAACUCAGACUAUGAAAAUAUUCAGAUCCCACCACAGCGGCCAGCCAGAGCUGGAACAUUCACUGAAUUCUUUGAAGAUCCAUGCAGGGCCCUGUCCUCAGCCAAUGAGAAUGAUGGAUAUGUUGAUAUGAGCAGCUUCAACACCUUUGAAAUCAAGCAGCUGACAGCUGACCAGGAAGCUGAAAGUGCUUACACCGAGCCAUACAAAGUCUGCCCCAUCCUUGCCAGCACCGUAGAAGACAUUACUUCUGAUGAAGAACCAAAGAGCUCUGAAGAGGAGGGGAAUUGUCUAGGGGAGCCUGGAGUGGUUCAGAAGAAGGAUGGCCCAAUGAGAGCUCUGAACAUCAUAGAAGGUCUGUUGUCAUCUGAGAAAGAGUACGUUGACAUGUUAAAGCGUCUGCACAUUGAGUUUCACACGGCUGUGCUCCGAGUGCUGGGAAGUGAAGAGGAGGAUGGGGAGGAUGAACUCAAACUACGCCACGGAUUGAGUGGACUUCUGAACAUUUACCUUCUUCACGAGGAAAUUCUGGCUGAGCUGGAGCUAAGGAUAUCACACUGGGAGGAAAGCCAGAAGAUAGCAGACAUAUUCCUGAGCCGCAAGUCCGACUUCCAGCACCACACAGCCUUCAUUGUGGCAUUUGAUAAGAUGACAGCUGCCCUGGAUGACUGCACCAUUAAAACCUCUUACUUGGCAACAGUUGUAAGAGACUUUGAGAGGUAUCUCCAUCGUGGCCAAGCUAAUGUGAAGCAUGAACUGCUGAAGGUGGUGCAGAGAAUCUUCCAGUAUCAUAUGAUCCUUACAGACUACCUGAAUAACCUGUGCCCAGACUGGGCGGAGUAUGAAGACACCCUCGCUGCCCUGAUGAUAGUGUCAGAAGUUGCUGACCGAGCCAAUGACAGCAUGAGACAAGGGGAAAACCUCCAGAAACUGGUACAAAUUGAGCACAGUGUCAGGGGUCAGAGAAGCCUUCUCCAGCCUGGGAGGGAAUUCGUGAAAGAAGGAACUCUAAUGAAAGUUUCUGGAAGAAACAAACACCCUCGGCAUUUGUUCUUGAUGAAUGAUGUUUUGCUCUAUACCUACCCACUGAAGGAUGGCAAAUACCGUCUGAAGAACACCCUCUCAAUUCCAGGAAUGAGGGUUAGUCGCCCCAUUGUGGAGAAUGCGCAAAAUGUGCUUAAAGUUGAAUGUAUGGAACGUUGCCUUAUGCUGUCUGCAAGCUCGUGUACAGAGAGGGAUGAAUGGUAUAGCUGUAUCAGCAGAACUGUGCAGGAAUAUUACAAAGCUCCCACUGUAUCUAUCUACAACAACCUAGAGAUUAGGGAAAGACUGGGAAUGGGCUUGGGUGAGAGACCUCCGAGCGUGGCCCAUAUGUCGCAUGCUGUGAUGUGUAUGAAUUGUGGCAGUGACUUUAGCCUAACGCUAAGGCGACAUCACUGUCACGCUUGUGGCAAGAUUGUGUGUCGCAGUUGCUCAAGAAACAAAUACCCGCUGAAGUACCUCAAAGAUCGACCGUCAAAAGUGUGUGAUGGCUGCUUCGCGGAACUACGCAAAAGAGACCUAGCAGCGAUGAACAUGAACGCCUCACCACUCUUACCCAGAUCCACCAGCACGUUGUCAACCAUGUUUCACAGCAUUCACCCGUCUUACUUUAGAAGACAAAAGAAAAUCCCUUCUGCUCUGAUGGAGGUAGGGCCAAGGCUGUCUGAUAAAAGGCUGCAGCAUCAGGAGAGAAUUCCUCAAUUUGUGGCUAUCUGCAUUGGUGCAAAAAAGGCAAAAAAUACUGGAAAAAACGUUGGUUUGUUAUUAAGGGCAAAGUCCUCUACACCUACACAGCAUGUGAGGAUAAAGUUGCCACGGAAAGUUUACCUCUAUUAGGUUUCCACAUUGUGCCUGACAACUGGAAUGAGAAACCCAAACUGGGCACUGUGUUCCAGCUUUACCACAAAAAGACCUUGUUUUAUAGCUUCAAAGCAGCGGAUACUAAUGCUGCAAUCAGGUGGGUUGAAGCCAUAAAAGCUGCAUCUGUAUUAUAACAUUAACUAAUGAUGGGCCGCAAGGAGUCCAGCAAACAAUAUCAGGAUUUAUUUUCUACCCUGGGAAUCGAGUUCUCUAUUACUUCAGGAGUCUCCGACAUUCGGCUAAUGCUGCACUCAGACUGGAACCUCUUGGCCUCUACCGCCGUAUUUAGUAUUUUACCUUCUUUUUUAUUCAAAGGCUGGGGAUGGACAUGAGGCGAAACAUUCCUAGCAAUAACUGCACCAAAUAAAAUGGCAUUGCCACAUUUAUAAUACACUUUACUUUUAAAAACAAAGACCUUUUUCUCAGUGGGGAGGAGCUUGAAAUAAAGGCUGCAAAGCCAAAAUUUGUUAAUGGUUAUGGGUUUUACAUUUUGUUCCAAUGAUCAGUUCUUCCACAAGUUUAUGAACUUACUCUCAUAUAGAGGCACUUUUUGAUGCUGUUCCUGUUGGAAUACCGACCAGUCGACCCAGGCAAUUGUUUAAACGUUCUGAUUGGCUGCAGAUUCUAGUCCUGCCCACUUGGAAAUUACCCAUACAAAGACAACAACAUCUAUAUGGACUCAUAUUUUUAUUUUUUUUUGCAUUUUUAACAAAGAGUGAUGUGAACCUGUUUUAGCAAAAAGACACAGUGGUGAAUCAGAUGACGUCUCCCUCCUGUUGUGUGUGAACUGUUACAUUGGAAACCAGCCGUCCAGAUUUAAACCAACAUUAAGAAACAUGAAGCCUUUCAAAUACAAAUUAUUGCUAUGUGAAAGAGUAUUUUGUACCAUUCACUAAUGUGUAUAUAUACUAUACAGUUCUCAAUGCCUUGACAGUACCUAAUAUAUUUCAGAUUGCAUACGCUGUUUCUCAUUGGUUAAUUGCACUGGUGUGUGCCCUCCUGCUCCUGGUCAAGCAAAGUGAUAUUUGGGGGCUGGUGGCGAUUGCAAAGCUCCUGCUGUGCUGGUCAUGUCGAGGAGGGCCCGGAUCAUUUUGUUAUCAAGGGCCCCAAGAUGUCUGAUGGCAGCCCUGCUAUAAUACAAUUACAUGUUACUGAGAGUCCCAAUAUGGUGCUGAGGAACAGGAAAUGGGCAGUGCAAAGGAUCAUUGUUCUGCUGAAAGGAAACCUAAAAAGGAAACAGCAAAUGCAUUAUAUUGUUUACAAGUAACUGACAGUAUUUUGAGCCUUAACUGAACUAAAAUAAAGACUGUUCCUUCCCAACAUGUUAUGAAGACACAAGGUUCACUUAUUUUAAGGUCAACAAGGACGUGUAUAAAUAAAUAUGUUUAACAGUGA
RNA transcript from Xenopus laevis (African clawed frog), 6217 nucleotides. It is a transcript of the gene named FYVE, RhoGEF and PH domain-containing protein 5, with no coding region annotated. The transcript has 21 exons. The record is from RefSeq and is a predicted model, not a curated record. NCBI's taxonomy places the organism in Eukaryota, Metazoa, Chordata, Amphibia, Anura, Pipidae.